This is a long non-coding RNA of Pecten maximus, 3396 nucleotides long. RefSeq lists it as uncharacterized. NCBI's taxonomy places the organism in Eukaryota, Metazoa, Mollusca, Bivalvia, Pectinida, Pectinidae. The transcript is spliced from 2 exons. The record is from RefSeq and is a predicted model, not a curated record.
CUUCAAUUUAAAACAUGAUCAUUGUAUGACAGGGACGGCUCAACACAGUGUGGACUGUUUUGCCUCAUGGCGAAUACCCGAGACCAGAUCAAAAUGGACGAGGAGGUGGAUGUAUUUCAUGCUGCGCGACAGCUCCUUAUCAGGCGACCAGAGUUUUUGAGCACUUUUGAACAAUAUCAGUUUUGCUACGCCAUCUUGAAUGAUUACCUGGAGGCCAGCGACGUGUACAUGAACUGAGCAAGUAUCUUGUAAUAACAUAAGACAAAACAGACCAGGAGAAAUGUGUCAAUAAUGUAAACAAGAGAACUGUGGUAGAGGAUGGCUACUGAUCACCCAUGAUUAGACGGGUGAUAAAUGCAGAAGAGUAUCGUUAUAUAUAAAUGUGCUACAGCUGCUACUGCUAAUAUUACGGCGAUAGCUGUGCUAUAGUUUGGUCCAACUGUCUACUACUGGAACGCACAUGCAGUGAUUGAUGUGUUUAGAGUAAUCUCCUAUAUCUGCUGCUGGUGUUCACAUGAAUAACAACCUGUUGUGCAGUACAUGGUGCAUGUUAAAUUAGCAAUAUUAACAAGGCAGAACUGCGAUAUUGUGAAUUGCUCUAGUAUAUCACACACAUUAAUUAUUUUUGAAAGAGGGGAUAUAAUGUUCUGGUUUUAGCUUAUUGCACUUAGUGUUGUAGAGUAUGAGGAUUAAACAUUUUCCAGUUGGCACACAUGUAGGUGUACACACUAGUCAGUGUAGUUAAGUAUUAGGUACGUGCUCAACACAUUGAAAAUUGUUGAUGGGUUGAAAAUGAUGUGUUCUACUAGGUUUAUAGAUUGAUUUUGAUUGAGUGUCACGCAUAAACAUUUUCCCGGUAGGCUAGCGAACAGAUGCAUACUCUUAAUGUGAUGGAUAAUUGAAACGGCGGAAUAAGCUGCUAGCUAAAAGAAAAUAAAAAUGAUAUAUAUCAUAAUAUAAUACUUAAUAGCUUUUUAAAUAUAUUACUCAUCCAUAACUCUGCUUCUAAAAUCUACUAUGUUUACUUUUUAUUGUGUUUGAAAUGAAUUGUGGAAGCCAAAUAUAUAUUGAUGUAUUUGUUCCUUCAUAUUCAUCAUCCUUAUGCUAUGAAGGUCAAAUCAUUUUAUACCAGUUACACUAAUGACAGUAGCACGAUAUGGAGAAAUCCACAAUUUAAAACGUUUUACCGCUUAACAAAAUGACCAGAUAAAUCUCAUGAAAAAUAAUAUUUUGGAAAAUAUGAUCGAUAUAUCAGUAUCUGUUUCAUUAACCUUAAAUAAAAUGAAUAAGCUUACAGAUCUCAUGAAAAAUAUUUCACUUUGCCAUGAUUCAAAACCGGUGAUUCACAGACAGGUUAGUUUCCUUGGAUGACGUCUAGUGUUUGGUUGUUUGCUUUUUAUGAAACUUAAAAGCAUUGUAUCUAGCUUUAUAGACACCAAUGAUCAUGCUAAUUAACAUAAAGCACGUGUUAUAUUGUCGUGAUUUUUUUUGUCAGUAUGGUGUUUUGAUGUGUUUGCACUUCAUGAUAGAGAUAAUUAUAUACCACUAAAUGUUUGUAUUGUUUUGAUUUUAUAUUGUCCAUUCAGUCAGUGUAAGUAGACUGUGCUCUUUAUGUGUUUAUAUGUGAACACUUCUUUCUUCGCAUUUUCAUUCCAUGGUAUAUCCCCGUACAAAUAAUUUGAUAUUCAGAUUUAUAAAAGGAAAUCCAUCAUCAUAACAUCCAUUGUUUCAAGCCUUCAACGGGACUUAGAUCAAUUCAUCACUCUGUUCAUUAUAACAACGAUUAAUUCAAAGACGCUAUUCUUUUAUGUACAGAUUGUUAUUCUAAUUACAGUAUUAUCAAAUCCAAGGCACAGUUUGAUUGCAAAACAUAAAUAUAUUUUCAAAUAUGUUCGAUAAACCCGACACUAAAUUCUAUCCUACUAUUUGAAUGUUUGUAGUACAUUGUUUACAGAAACUAACAUGAAAAUUGUUUUUGGUUGUCACGCGAUUAUGAGGACAAUACACUGCUGGCGUUUUAUAAUGAAUUUAGGAACUAUUGGCGAAAAUACUUGAACUUCCGAACAUCACUUCAAUUUUAGAUUAAUGUAAUAUUUGGUAACAGAAAAGAAAUACUUAAUUUGACAAACAUCUCUUUCCACUUCAUUAUGUGAUAUCAAUUCAGUCACGUGAAUUAUUGUCCCGCUGUUGUUGCGCUAUUUCUAAGACCAUGACAUAAACGUCUUUUAAAAUGACAGCAUCUUGUUAUCAAUGUUGAGUCAUAAUAAUUAUUUCAUGAACACGUCUUCAUUCUCUGAUUAGUCAGUUUAGUGAAGUAUGCAGAACAUCUGUAUCGUUUAUUCUUCAUGUAUUUUCCAAUCUAAAUGUCAUAUUUGAAUUUCUAGUUUUUUUCAGAAGUCAAUUGUUUGUGUCUUCAUGAAUAUUAAUCCUUUAACUUUUUAACAUCUAUCUUUUCAGUAAAACAAGUAUUAUGCAAAAAAGAGUUUUUGUUUUGCUGGUUUUAUCGCCCGUGAACAGCCAGUGAAAUUUUGAAACGGGGCUCCGUGUAGAACUCAGUGAUUACCUCAUUAUACAAAGGACCAACGGCUCGUCGCACGGCAUCUUGAGUAAAAAGGGUAAAGUAUCUUGCUCAAAGAUACAUCCACAUUACGACUGGCCGGCUGGUUUCUCAGCUUUCCGAGAAACAUAAACUGACACGGGGCUUUUAAUUGAGGUUAUGUGGUCGAUGCUCUAACUGACAGAGUAAAUAAUGUGGACAGUAGGAUACUUAAUCGUUAUUCCCGACCCGUGUCAUAGUAGUAGAGUGUGUUGUUUUAAUUAAUCCUAGAUAACAUCAUAUCAAAAACACGGAAAAGCCACUUGAUACAGUGAAUGAAUUUUCGCCGACAACAUCCUCCUAUGGAACAGGAAGAGUAUACUCUGACACGUUAAGGAUGACAACCUCCACGUUUUGUUGUAUGGCGUUCAAGUAACUAUGUCGCUUUGAGUCAUAUAUCACUAUUUUAGUGAAAUUAAUUCAGUAUGGGAUCUCCGAAUGAUAUAUAAAAGAUUGAUGGAUGCAAGGUGCUGAAGUUGUAGUGCACGGACCUAGUGACCGAAGAGUCACUUAAUUGUUCGAGUAAGGUUAUAUCUUUUGACAAUAUACUUUAUUCUAGUGCGUUCAAGUUGACUCAGCGAUCAAAGAAAGCCUGCUUUUCAUAUGUUGUUAGUUCCGAAUGAGAGGUCCGAUGGUAAACUUGUAUCCUAAGGCCCGAUGACCACAAACAAUUACUUAAGCUCAGUUUUCAGAGAGCUAUACAGCUGUGAUAAAGCAGUAUGUAUUACUAUGAUUUAUCUAAUUUUAAGUUAUUUUUAUCUUAUCCUGUUGUGCAUAAUAAAAUACUAUUGCGAGCAUUC